This 371-nucleotide ribosomal RNA is filed under the name uncultured bacterium. RNAcentral's name for it is "bacterial SSU rRNA". It matches the Rfam family "Bacterial small subunit ribosomal RNA", at positions 29 to 430 of the family's 1533-position model. The record is from RNAcentral.
AACGAACGCUGGCGGCAGGCCUAACACAUGCAAGUCGAACGCGUCCUUCGGGACGAGUGGCAGACGGGUGAGUAACGCGUGGGAACGUACCCUUUGGUUCGGAACAACAGCGGGAAACUGCUGCUAAUACCGGAUAAGCCCUUCGGGGAAGAUUAUCGCCAGAGGAUCGGCCCGCGUUAGAUUAGCUUGUUGGUGAGGUAAUGGCUCACCAAGGCUACGAUCUAUAGCUGGUCUGAGAGGAUGAUCAGCCACACUGGGACUGAGACACGGCCCAGACUCUUACGGGAGGCAGCAGUGGGGAAUCUUGGACAAUGGGCGAAAGCCUGAUCCAGCCAUGCCGCGUGAAUGAUGAAGGCCCUAGGGUUGUAAAU